RNAcentral lists this ribosomal RNA (982 nucleotides) under human oral metagenome. RNAcentral describes it as "bacterial LSU rRNA". It matches the Rfam family "Bacterial large subunit ribosomal RNA", at positions 1945 to 2925 of the family's 2925-position model. The record is from RNAcentral.
ACGGUCCUAAGGUAGCGAAAUUCCUUGUCGGGUAAGUUCCGACCUGCACGAAUGGCAUAAUGAUGGCCAGGCUGUCUCCACCCGAGACUCAGUGAAAUUGAAAUCGCCGUGAAGAUGCGGUGUACCCGCGGCUAGACGGAAAGACCCCGUGAACCUUUACUAUAGCUUGACACUGAACAUUGAAUUUUGAUGUGUAGGAUAGGUGGGAGACUAUGAAGAUGAUACGCCAGUAUUGUUGGAGUCGUCCUUGAAAUACCACCCUUUAACGUUUGAUGUUCUAACGAAGAUUACGAAACGUGGUCUCGGACAGUGUCUGGUGGGUAGUUUGACUGGGGCGGUCUCCUCCCAAAGAGUAACGGAGGAGCACGAAGGUUUGCUAAUGACGGUCGGACAUCGUCAGGUUAGUGCAAUGGUAUAAGCAAGCUUAACUGCGAGACAGACAAGUCGAGCAGGUACGAAAGUAGGUCAUAGUGAUCCGGUGGUUCUGAAUGGAAGGGCCAUCGCUCAACGGAUAAAAGGUACUCCGGGGAUAACAGGCUGAUACCGCCCAAGAGUUCAUAUCGACGGCGGUGUUUGGCACCUCGAUGUCGGCUCAUCACAUCCUGGGGCUGAAGUAGGUCCCAAGGGUAUGGCUGUUCGCCAUUUAAAGUGGUACGCGAGCUGGGUUUAGAACGUCGUGAGACAGUUCGGUCCCUAUCUGCCGUGGGCGUUGGAGAAUUGAUUGGGGCUGCUCCUAGUACGAGAGGACCGGAGUGGACGCACCACUGGUGUUCCGGUUGUGUCGCCAGACGCAUUGCCGGGUAGCUAAGUGCGGAAGAGAUAAGUGCUGAAAGCAUCUAAGCACGAAACUUGCCAAGAGAUGAGUUCUCCCAGAUUAUAAAUCUGUAAGGGUUGUUUAAGACUAAGACGUAGAUAGGCAUGGUGUGUAAGCGGUGCGAGCCGUUGAGCUAACAUGUACUAAUUGCCCGAGAGGCUUAACUAU